RNAcentral lists this ribosomal RNA (355 nucleotides) under Ornebius sp. AME1. RNAcentral's name for it is "partial 12S ribosomal RNA". The record is from RNAcentral. Lineage: Eukaryota; Metazoa; Arthropoda; Insecta; Orthoptera; Mogoplistidae.
AUUAAUGUAGUUAUAAAGGUUUGAGUAGUAAUAGUUAAGAUCUUGAAACUUAAAGAAUUUGGCGGUGUUUUAAUCUGAUCAGAGGAAUUUGUUCUAUAAUUGAUAAUACACGAUUAGGAAGACUUAAUUUAAAAUUUGUAUAUCGUCGUCAUAAGAUUAUUUUUGAAAAAAUUUAAAUUUCGUGAUACUUGUAGAGAGUAAAAUGUCAGAUCAAGGUGCAGUUUAUAAUUAAGAAAGUUAAUGGAUUACAAUAGUAGAUGAAUUAUACGAAUAUUUUUAAGGAAUUAAAAUUUGAAGGUGGAUUUGUAAGUAAAUUUAAUAAAAAAAUUAUGUUGAAAUGAGUUCUAAAAUAUGU